This 239-nucleotide ribosomal RNA is filed under the name uncultured Lactobacillus sp. RNAcentral describes it as "partial 16S ribosomal RNA". It matches the Rfam family "Bacterial small subunit ribosomal RNA", at positions 123 to 356 of the family's 1533-position model. Lineage: Bacteria; Bacillati; Bacillota; Bacilli; Lactobacillales; Lactobacillaceae. The record is from RNAcentral.
CCGUAGCCCAAGAGAUCGGGAUAACACCUGGAAACAGAUGCUAAUACCGGAUAACAACAGAUGAUGCCUAUCAACUGUUUAAAAGAUGGUUCUGCUAUCACUCUUGGAUAGACCUGCGGUGCAUUAGCUAGUUGGUAGGGUAACGGCCUACCAAGGCGAUGAUGCAUAGCCGAGUUGAGAGACUGAUCGGCCACAUUGGGACUGAGACACGGCCCAAACUCCUACGGGAGGCAGCAGUG